GGGGAAUUUUGGACAAUGGGGGCAACCCUGAUCCAGCCAUCCCGCGUGUGCGAUGAAGGCCUUCGGGUUGUAAAGCACUUUUGGCAGGGAAGAAACAGCCUGGGCUAAUAUCCCGGGCGACUGACGGUACCUGCAGAAUAAGCACCGGCUAACUACGUGCCAGCAGCCGCGGUAAUACGUAGGGUGCAAGCGUUAAUCGGAAUUACUGGGCGUAAAGCGUGCGCAGGCGGUUCGGAAAGAAAGGUGUGAAAUCCCAGGGCUUAACCUUGGAACUGCACUUUUAACUACCGGGCUAGAGUACGUCAGAGGGUGGUAGAAUUCCACGUGUAGCAGUGACAUGCGUAGAGAUGUGGAGGAAUACCGAUGGCGAAGGCAGCCCCCUGGGAUGAUACUGACGCUCAUGCACGAAAGCGUGGGGAGCAAACA
RNAcentral lists this ribosomal RNA (426 nucleotides) under uncultured bacterium. Its description in RNAcentral is "bacterial SSU rRNA". It matches the Rfam family "Bacterial small subunit ribosomal RNA", at positions 356 to 774 of the family's 1533-position model. The record is from RNAcentral.